Molecule: non-coding RNA, 259 nt
Organism: Triticum urartu
Lineage: Eukaryota; Viridiplantae; Streptophyta; Magnoliopsida; Poales; Poaceae
Source: RefSeq, a predicted model, not a curated record
GGUAGUCGAAGGCUUUCCUUGUCCUUCGUGAUUGAUGAUGAUGCUAAUGUGUGCUCUGCUCACAGUGCUCGCUCGACUUGCUUGUGUGUUCUCCACAGCCAUUCUUUUGUAGAGCCUGACUCGAAGGAGACCAUACGCAAGGCACCUCCUCUUCGGUUGUGAGAGUGUCCAGGGGUCGUGGGUGCGGCUAAUGCCUAUAAUUUAUAAUUUCCUGAGCAAUGCACAUGGACGAUAUCUGGAGCGGUCAAGAGGAUGAGCU